Molecule: long non-coding RNA, 702 nt
Organism: Bradysia coprophila
Lineage: Eukaryota; Metazoa; Arthropoda; Insecta; Diptera; Sciaridae
Source: RefSeq, a predicted model, not a curated record
CGGCUUGAACAAAACUGUCAGCGGCUAAAAUCGCAUCUAAACUUUGUUGGCUCUCAUGUCUGCUUUUAGUUUUAAUUUUUUUUUUUGAGGGGUGAAUGAAAAUUAGAAAAUUAACAGCAUGACGACCUCAGAGGUUCAAUUUAUUUUUCUAUUUUAACUUAUUUAUACUUCUUCAUUUCUCUUGUUAGAUAACAUUCCACUUUUUUAUAUUAAUUUUAAGUUCAAAUUACAAGUAGUCAUUCGUGGUCACUUGUAGUUGAGAAAAAAAAAUUGGCUAAGUUAAUCAUCCCAUUUUUUUAGUCAUAAAAUUGUUCCUUGUGCCAAUUGGAAAUUAGUCGUCGAAAAGUGAUGAUGUGAGAAAAAGCAUGGCAGGACUUUUUUUAUGGAAAUUUAAAUUCUCGAUAUUUCAAAAAGUACUGAGAUGUUCUUGGACCCCAAGAAUAAAAUGAAACAUAUUCACUUGCCAACUCUUUACAAAAUUUUCCUGUAAUUUCAUUGAAAUUUUUAGUUUUAUGGCUGAAAGAACAACAAAUAUUAAGGUUUAAAAGUGAUUGAAAAAGAAAAUGUUGAAGAAAACUGAGAAUUUCCUUAAAAUAGGACGGAAGCUUUUUUCUAUUCGGUUCAAUUAAUAAUAUAUAAUUCCAUUGCCUACAAAGCCAUUAUAAUCAAAUAACUUUAGUUCAGUGAUCGCUUAGCGAGUAA